Molecule: unclassified non-coding RNA, 274 nt
Filed under: Hevea brasiliensis (rubber tree)
Lineage: Eukaryota; Viridiplantae; Streptophyta; Magnoliopsida; Malpighiales; Euphorbiaceae
Source: RNAcentral
CAGCCGAGUAGAAAUUCCCCAUGUCUUCAAGAUUUGGUUGGGUGUUAUCCCCAGUCCAGAGAUGUACUGGGCCGUGUGGAAUGUUCUCAAUAGAACCAGCACCAGGGUCUGUUUCAUCGCCGGCACGAUAAGAACUUCCGAAAAAGAGCUUAGCAGUCUUGCCAUUAGAAACCAUUUGCCUGUACAUUAUGGUAAGAUUGCUAGAUAGUUGAGCUUGGUUUGAUGUGGGGUUUUCAGUUCCAUUGUAAUCAAGAUCAACUAGUGUUGGUGGCUG